GCCAUGUACUUUAAAUAGAUUUAUAAAGUGAUGAGCAUUCUUAUUUGUCUACCAUUGUAUAGGUAUAUGUGUACGUGAUAAAUUAAAAAUAACGUAUUUUUGGUAGUAAGGAGGGAGUAACCGUUAAAAAUAAAUAAAAUGGUUUAUAAGCAGUGCUAGGCACAACAGUAAGCAGGGGCUAUAGCAGCAGCUUUUUUUGGAUGGACAGAUGUAGUCAAAUGGCUGAUGAUUGCUGUGCCACGUGGACACACCCACCGUCUAUGAAAAUGGUUGAGGGAGGUUGUAAUUGUUUUAGAAGUUAA
RNAcentral lists this long non-coding RNA (302 nucleotides) under Oryza brachyantha (malo sina). Its description in RNAcentral is "long non-coding RNA (OBRA_LNC001159)". The record is from RNAcentral. Lineage: Eukaryota; Viridiplantae; Streptophyta; Magnoliopsida; Poales; Poaceae.